Molecule: long non-coding RNA, 1755 nt
Organism: Phyllostomus discolor (pale spear-nosed bat)
Lineage: Eukaryota; Metazoa; Chordata; Mammalia; Chiroptera; Phyllostomidae
Exons: 3
Source: RefSeq, a predicted model, not a curated record
UAAGAUUUAAGAUUGCUCUGAUUUGAAAACAAGUAAUAAUUCUUAAUCUGAGUUUCGUGACUUUGAGAAACAAGAAUAUUUUCUAGUAGAAUACAAUAAUGAUUUUAAAAUUUGAGGUACUGAAAAUGCAGUUUUCACUUAGAGUUUCAGCAGAGUUCUAGCACAGAACACAAUUAACCAGGACUUUUUAAAAAAAAUUAAACUUGUAAUUUUGAGGUAAUUGUCGAUUCACCUGCAGUUGUAGGAAACAAUACAAAGAGACCCUUUAUUUCCCCCACACCACCUGUGGUAACAUUGUACAAAACCAUGGUGCAGUGUCACAGCCAGGUGUGAUAUUAUCAUAACCAGCUGCAGUAACCAGGGUAUUGACAUGGAUAUAGUCAAGUACAGUUCAGUCCCCUUAACACAAGGCUCCUCUCUGAGUUCCCCGUUUAUAGCCACACCUCCUCCCUCCCAUGUCUGACCUCUGGCAACUAUGAUUCUGUUUAGUUUCUAUAAUCGGUCAUUUCCAGAAUAGAAUCAUGCAGCAUUUAAUCUUUGAGGAGAGUCUUUUUUUUUCCCUCAGCGCAAUUGCUCCAUGACUGAUUCAUGCAUGAAUCAAGAGUUCAUUCCUUUUUCUUGCUGAGCUGUAGUCCAUGGUGGGGAUGUAGCAAGGUCUGCUUUACCAUUCACCCACUGAAGGACAUUUGAGCUGUUUCUCAUUUUGCCUGUCUAAUAAAAAUGCAAGCAGGACUUUUAAAAAAACAGUUAUUGAUGUGCUUAUGAUUGUAUCUUAUUACAGAGUAUUUAUUGGCUGGGUAGAGUAAGAUUAAAGGUUUAGAUUCAUUAGGACUAAAAUAAAUGUUAUGAACUAUGACAGUCUAGCACAAAAUAGCUUGAUUUCGUAAAUGUAGUUUAUUUAUGUAUUUAAUCAAACUUAAGCUUAUUAUUGGCUAAUGUCCAUCAAUACAAUUUAUUAGUGGUUAUACUAUGCCUGUGCUUUCAUUUCUGUUCUCAACCUAAAUAAUUGCUCAAAAUGCACUAUAAAUAUUCACUUGUAUUAGCAUUGCGCACACAUCUUACUGUGUUUCUAGCAAUGUGAUGGCACAUGAUCGUGUUGAUUUUUCACUGUCAAGCCCAAUUGUUGGAUGUUUAAAAACAUUAAAUACCCAUGUGCAAUCAGGAGUCUCUGACGAAGAGCCUUAAUUAAAUAAACAUUGCAUUGCAUUAUGAACAGAAGUGCCAGCGCUGGAACAAUCUGUGAAGUUUACAGCUUAUUGAUGGAUGGUAGGUAAUUAGUUGAGGGACACUCAGAAACACGUGGCUCUGCUGGCAGGGAGUAGGGAAGACCUGUCUGUAUCCCACCAAAUAUCUGUGUGCAUCUGCUCACACUGCCACGUUAGCCCUGGAGGGGACCGAGAAGCAGGGUGACUUCUUUUAGUUCCAGUCCUGGGGACCAGCCCAGAUGCACAGGGAGGGGAAAUGAACGCUGCCACGCGGGCGGGCUCCACUGUGGUUUUCCAGCAACCUACUGGGCAUCCUACGGUUCAGCUACAUUCUGACAUCAACUACCUGCAGUUAGUGCAGAUCCCACAAGUUAAGGGCUAAGUCCCCCACCUCAGACACCAGCCACAGGUGAAGUAUCCCCAAGUUAUCCACACGCAGGAAUGUGCAGUCCUACAGGAUCACAGUUUACUGGAAAGACCAUGAAUGAACAUCCAGAUGAAGAGGGAAAUGGGGUGAGGGCUGGAAGGAUCCAGAGAGCAGAAAUUUCUA